UGAGGAACAUGACUUUCGGUGGGGGAGUAGCCGGCCCAACGGCCGGGUAAUACCGCGUACGACCACUUGGGGACAUCCCUGAUUGGUGAAAGCAGCAAUGCGCCGAAAGAGUGCCUCGCGGCCUAUCAGCUAGUUGGUGGGGUAAUGGCUCACCAAGGCGACGACGGGUAGCUGGUCUGAGAGGAUGGCCAGCCACAUUGGGACUGAGACACGGCCCAGACUCCUACGGGAGCAG
RNAcentral lists this ribosomal RNA (235 nucleotides) under uncultured bacterium. RNAcentral describes it as "partial 16S ribosomal RNA". It matches the Rfam family "Bacterial small subunit ribosomal RNA", at positions 118 to 347 of the family's 1533-position model. The record is from RNAcentral.